RNAcentral lists this ribosomal RNA (440 nucleotides) under uncultured bacterium. RNAcentral describes it as "partial 16S ribosomal RNA". It matches the Rfam family "Bacterial small subunit ribosomal RNA", at positions 338 to 795 of the family's 1533-position model. The record is from RNAcentral.
CCUACGGGGUGCAGCAGUAGGGAAUAUUGCUCAAUGGGGGAAACCCUGAAGCAGCAACGCCGCGUGGAGGAUGAAGGUUUUCGGAUUGUAAACUCCUUUUGUUAGAGAAGAUAAUGACGGUAUCUAACGAAUAAGCACUGGCUAACUCAGUGCCAGCAGCCGCGGUAAUACGGAUGGUGCAAGCGUUACUCGUAAUCACUGGGCGUAAAGAGAGCGUAGACGGGAUAGCAAGUCAGAUGUGAAAUCCUAUGGCUUAACCAUAGAACUGCAUGUGAAACUGUUAUUCUAGAGGAUGGGUGAGGUAGGUGGAAUGCGUUGUGUAGGGGUAAAAUCCGUAGAGAUCAAGAGGAAUACUCAUUGCGAAGGCGACCUGCUAGAACAUAACUGACGCUGAUGCGCGAAAGCGUGGGGAGCAAACAGGAUUAGAUACCCCGGUAGUC